GUCCCAACCGCUCCCGCGGCGGUUCGAACUCGGAGCCUCAGAGGUUCGCUGGUUCUCCGCUUCGUGUGUUAGAGGCUUCCAUGUCGUGGCCUGCGCGAGUGUCCUAAGCUUCCGAGCGCAGGGGAGCAGCGCGGUGCGCCGUGGUCUGGGGUCGCUAACUCCAGCUGCGACCUGGGUGGAAGUUCAUGAUGUUGUUGAAUAGAUGUGAAGCAGAAUGGGGACCUGAGUCACUCACUGACUGGGGGAGUCUUCGAACUUAAGCAGAAGCAAAUCGUGAAAACAAAACCAGAAAGAGGGUAGAAACAUUUUAUUUACAAAACAUCUCAUAUAAUUUCAAUCCUCAACUUUUUCGAAUAAGGAAAUGGAAUCUAGUUCAUCAGACAACUAUAAUAAAGACAACGACAAUGAGGAAGAAAGCUUGCUUGCAAAUGUUGCUUCAUUAAGACAUGAACUGAAAAUAACAGAGUGGAGUUUGCAGAAUUUAGGGGAAGAGUUAUCCAGUGUUAGUCCAAGUGAAAAUUCUGAUUGUGUCUGCAAUUCUUCAAGAUCUGAAAGGCUUAUUUUGGAAGAGCUUACUCAACCUAGCCGCCUGGGACAUUUAAAUUACCCACUUUAUAAGAAAGUUUGUAAAACAUCUGGUAGUACUGAUUUUCAAAAGAAACCAAGAGAUAAGGUGUCUUUUUCAUCUGCUUCUGUGGAUCAAGAGAUUAAAAGCCUUCGAGAGAAACUUAAUAGACUUAGGCAACAGAAUGCUUGUUUGGUCACACAGAAUCAUUCUUUAAUGACUAAAAUAGAAUCUAUCCACUUUGAAUUGACACAGUCAAAAGCAAAAAUGUCUAUGUUUGAGUCUGUGCAAGAGCAGGCAGCCAACAUCCCAAUCUUAGAAGAACAGAUUAUAAGUUUGGAAGCAGAAGUUUCAGCUCAAGAUAAAGUUUUAAGGGAAGCAGAAGAUAAAUUAGAGCAGAGUCAGAAAAUGGUGAUUGAGAAGGAACACAGUUUACAAGAAGCCAAAGAGGAAUGUAUAAAAUUGAAGGUGGACUUACUUGAACAAAGUAAACAAGGAAAAAGGGCUGAACAACAAAGGAAUGAAGCACUAUACAAUGCUGAAGAGCUGAGUAAAGCUUUCCAGCAGUAUAAACAAAAAGUGGCUGAAAAACUGGAAAAGGUUCAAGCUGAAGAAGAAUUAUUAGAGAAAAAUCUUAAUAACUGUGAAAAAGAAAACAAAAGGCUUCAAGAAAAGUGUAAUCUGUAUAAAAGUGAACUUGAAGUUUUGAAAGAGAAAUUCAGGCAGUUAAAAGAAGAGCAUAACAGUGGAAAAGAAAAAUUAAGAAUUAUGGCAAUGAAAAAUUCAGAAGUCAUGUCACAGUUAACUGAAUCUAGACAAAGUGUCCUGAAGCUAGAGAGUGAGUUAGAGGACAAAGAUGAAAUAUUGCGAGAAAAAAUUUCUUUAAUAAAAGAAAACCGAGAAUUGAAGGUUCGUGUUGCAACACAGAAUGAACGACUGGAUUUGUGUCAGCAGGAAAUUGAUAGUUCAAGGUUGGAACUGAGGAGCUUAGAAAAACUGAUGUCCCAGAUGUCAUUAAAAAGAGAAAUAGUUGGCUUUAAGUCAUCUCUUUCUAAGCACCAGAUGAAUAGUUUUUCUAACAAGGAGGACAAUUGCAUUGGCUGCUGUGAGGCAAAUAAAUUCAUGAUUUCGGAAUUGAGGAUUAAGCUUGCAAUCAAAGAGGCUGAAAUUCAGAAGCUACAUGCGAACCUAACUGUCAACCAGUUGUCUCAGAACACUGCUUCUUGUGAUGAUGUUCAAGAAGGUGGCAAAGUAAACACUUUAGAAACAGAGCCUGUAAAGCUAGGUGGUAGUCAAGGUGAAAAUAGAAAAGAUCAAAAUCAUCAUACUAUGAAUAAGCAGUAUGAAAGAGAGAAGGAAAGACUUGCUACGGGAAUAGAAGAACUACGCGCUAAGCUGAUACAAAUAGAAGCUGAGAAUUCUGAUUUGAAGGUUAACAUGGCACACAGAACUAGUCAGUUUCAGCUAAUUCAAGAAGAACUGCUAGAGAAAGCUUCAAAUGCUAGCAAACUGGAAAAUGAAAUGACGAAGAAAUGUUCUCAACUUUUAACUCUAGAGAAACAGCUGGAAGAAAAAAUUAUUGCGUAUUCUUCUAUUGCUGCAAAAAAUGCAGAACUUGAACAGGAGCUCAUGGAGAAGAAUGAAAAAAUAAGAAGCCUUGAAUCCAAUAUCAAUACGGAACAUGAGAAAAUUUGUUUUGCUUUUGAAAAAGCAAAGAAAAUUCACCUUGAACAGCAUAAAGAAAUGGAAAAACAGAUUGAACGACUUGAAACUCAACUAGAGAAAAGAGAUCAACAAUUCAAAGAGCAAGAAAAGACUAUGUCCAUUUUGCAGCAAGAUAUACUAUGUAAACAACAUCACCUUGAAUCACUAGAUAGACUUUUGACAGAAAAUAAAGUGGAAAUGGAAAAAGAAAAUAUGAAGAAAGAUGAAGCUUUGAAAUCAUUGCAGAUUCAUGUGUCUGAAGAAACAAUCAAGGUCAGACAACUGGAUUCAGCAUUAGAAAUCUGUAAGGAAGAACUUGCUUUGCAUUUGAAUCAAUUGGAAGGAAAUAAGGAAAAAUUUGAAAAACAGCUGAAGAAGAAGUCCGAAGAAGUAUAUUGUUUGCAGAAAGAGCUAAAGAUAAAGAAUCAUAGUCUUCAAGAGACUAGUGAGCAAAAUGCUAUUCUACAGCAUACUCUUCAGCAGCAGCAACAGAUGUUACAGCAAGAGACAAUUAGAAAUGGAGAGCUAGAAGAUAUUCAGACUAAACUUGAAAAACAGGUAUCAAAGCAAGAACAAGAGCUCCAGAAACAAAGGGAAAGCUCAGCAGAGAAGCUGAGAAAAAUGGAAGAGAAAUACGAGGCAGCCGUGCACGAUGCAGAUUUGAAAAGGCAGAACAUGAUUGAGCUUACUGCUGCUGCCAGGCAAGCCAGACUUGAGAUGGAUCAGUACAAAGAAGAGCUGUCUAAAAUGGAAAAAGAAAUCAUACAUCUGAAACGAGAUGGGGAAAAUAAAUCCAUACAUCUCUCUCAGUUAGAUAUGAUUUUAGAUCAGACAAAGACAGAACUAGAAAAGAAAACAAAUGCAGUGAAGGAGCUAGAAAGGUUACAGCACCACACUGAAGCUGAACUAACAGAAACUAUGCAGAAACGGGAAACACUUGAAACUGAACUACAAAAUGCUCAUGGAGAAUUGAAAAGUACCUUAAGACAACUACAGGAAUUGAGAGAUGUACUACAAAAGGCUCAGUUAUCAUUAGAGGAAAAAUACACUACAAUAAAGGAUCUCACUGCUGAACUUAGAGACUGUAAGAUGGAGAUUGAAGACAAAAAGCAAGAACUCGUUGAAAUGGAUCAGGCGCUUAAGGAGAGAAAUUGGGAGCUAAAGCAAAGAGCAGCUCAGGUUACACAUUUGGAUAUGACCAUUCGUGAGCACAGAGGAGAAAUGGAGCAAAAAAUAAUUAAAUUAGAAGGUACUCUUGAGAAAUCAGAAUUAGAACUUAAAGAAUGCAACAAACAGGUAGAAAGUUUAAAUGAAAAGUUGCAAAAUGCCAAAGAACAGCUUCGCGAAAAGGAGUUUAUAAUGCUCCAGAAUGAACAGGAGAUAAGUCAACUGAAAAAGGAGACUGAAAGAACACAACAGAGGAUGAAAGAAAUGGAAAGUGUUAUAAAAGAGCAGGAAGAGUACAUUGCUACCCAGUACAAGGAGGUCAUUGAUUUGGGGCAAGAAUUAAGACUAACCCAGGAGCAAAUGCAGAGCUCUCGUUCUGAACUGGUGGAGGCUCGUCGCCAAGAAGUCCAAGCGCAGAGAGAAAUAGAAAGACUCUCUAGUGAAUUGGAGGAUAUAAAGCAACUCUCUAAAGAAAAAGAAGCUCAUGGAAAUCGUUUGGCUGAAGAACUAGGGGCUUCUCAAGUACGUGAAGCUCAUUUAGAAGCAAGAAUGCAAGCGGAGAUAAAGAAAUUAUCCUUAGAAGUGCAGUCUCUCAAAGAAGCUUAUCACAUGGAGAUGAUUUCACAUCAAGAAAACCAUACAAAGUGGAAAAUUUCUGCUGACUCUCAAAAGACUUCUGUUCAACAACUAAACGAACAACUAGAGAAAGCAAAACUUGAAUUAGAAGAAGCUCAGGAUACUGUAAGCAAUUUGCAUCAACAAGUUCAAGACAGAAAUGAAGUCAUUGAAGCUGCAAAUGAAGCAUUACUUAUUAAAGAAUCAGAAUUAACCAGAUUGCAAGCCAAAAUUUCUGGACAUGAAAAGACAGAAGACCUCAAGUUUCUACCAGCUUCCUUUACAACUCUAACAGAAAUUAUGCCUGAUAUUCAAGAUCCAAAGUUUGCCAAACAUUCUCAGAUAUCAUUUUUCAAAUGCAGAAAACUACGUCGCUCUGUUAGUGCCACUGACCUUAGUUUCAAGAGUCAUACCAAUGAAGAUCUCUCUGAAGAAUUGCUACAGGACUUAAAGAAAAUGCAAUUAGAACAGCCUUUGGCAUUAGAAGGUGGUCAUAAAGACCUAGCUUUCAAGCAUUCAGAUUCAUUUAAACCUCUCCCAUAUAACCUGGAAGAUGAUAGUUCUGAGAGUAAUGACUUCAGUACUCUUAGUGGAAUGCUGAGAUAUAUAAACAAAGAAGUGAGACUGUUAAAAAAGUCUUCUCUGAAAACAGCUACUGGUUUAAUUCAGGGCAGUAAAUAGUUCACAAAAUGUGAUUAUGAGAAAUGACAAAAUCAGCCUAAAGAAAAACCAAGAUAGGAAAAAUGAUGAAGCAAGAGACUAAGGAAAUAUAUAGGGACAUGACAAUGUUUUCCAAUUCAAGGGAGGAAAAUUGUAAUUAAAAGAAGAUGUCUAUGUCAUGAAAAAUGGAAUUGUUGGUACUGUGCUGUUUAUUAUAUGUAGUGCAUAUUUCAUAGAAGCUGUUAUUUUAUUGUUUUUGAAUAAAUUUUAUUUUAAUAUUUUAAAGAAACCUUUCUAAAAUAUAA
RNA transcript from Peromyscus eremicus (cactus mouse), 5016 nucleotides. It is a transcript of the gene named coiled-coil domain containing 18, with no coding region annotated. NCBI's taxonomy places the organism in Eukaryota, Metazoa, Chordata, Mammalia, Rodentia, Cricetidae. The record is from RefSeq and is a predicted model, not a curated record. The transcript is spliced from 31 exons.